Molecule: long non-coding RNA, 392 nt
Organism: Mastomys coucha (southern multimammate mouse)
Lineage: Eukaryota; Metazoa; Chordata; Mammalia; Rodentia; Muridae
Exons: 2
Source: RefSeq, a predicted model, not a curated record
GCUGCGGCCGAGCGAACGAGAGACCGCCUGAAGAGCGCUCACUCGGCGGCAACCACAGCCCGGCGUCCCCGCAGGCUGGUCUCUGAGGGAGGUAUCACUGUUCAGCGUGACAAAGGAGACGACGUUUCCAAGCUGAAGGACUACAAGCUACCUGGGCAUGUUCUACUCACCAAUCUGUGCAGAAUGUCCCCUUCUGGCCAUAUUCUUUGACCUGACUGCUUCCUUUAUCCGGUCUACUUCUUGCUGAUAGCGUUUUCGGUCUCGAGAUGCAUUCUCUUUGGCUUCCUUCAGGGCCGACUCCAGAGCCUUCACUCUCUCUGCAGUAGCUCUAAGCCGUUUCUCUAACUUAGGAAGCUCACAGCGCAGAUCUGCAUUAUCACGAACCAACUAAA